UGCAGUGGGACGAAGGUUUUUGUCGGAAGGUUUCGGCUGGAAGAUGGAGAUACUGAGUCGCGGACGGGUGAGUAAUGCGUGAGAACCUGUCUCAAAGAGGGGGACAGCCCCGGGAAACCGGGAUUAAUACCCCAUAUGCCUAAGGGUGAAACGGAGCAAUCCGCUUUGAGAGGGGCUCGCGUCCUAUCAGCUAGUUGGUGAGGUAAUGGCUCACCAAGGCGAAGACGGGUAGCCGGACUGAGAGGUUGGACGGCCACAUUGGAACUGAGAUACGGUCCAGACUCCUACGGGAGGCAGCAGUGGGGAAUAUUGGGCAAUGGGCGCAAGCCUGACCCAGCGACGCCGCGUGAGGGAAGACGGUCUUCGGAUUGUGAACCUCUGUUGCAGGGGAAGAAUAAAGUGACGGUACCCUGCGAGGAAGCCCCGGCAAACUACGUGCCAGCAGCCGCGGUAACACGUAGGGGGCGAGCGUUGUCCGGAAUUACUGGGCGUAAAGGGUGCGUAGGCUGCGAGACAAGUCGGGUGUAAAAGGCACGGGCUCAACCUGUGUGUGCACUCGAAACUGUUUUGCUGGAGGGGUAGAGAGGCAAGCGGAAUUCCCGGUGUAGCGGUGAAAUGCGUAGAUAUCGGGAAGAACACCAGUGGCGAAGGCGGCUUGCUAGCUACACCCUGACGCUGAGGCACGAAAGCCAGGGGAGCGAACCGGAUUAGAUACCCGGGUAGUCCUGGCAGUAAACGAUGAGUGCUAGGUGUGGGUGGGUCAAACCAUCUGUGCCGCAGCUAACGCAUUAAGCACUCCGCCUGGGGAGUACGGUCGCAAGAUUGAAACUCAAAGGAAUUGACGGGGGCCCGCACAAGCGGUGGAGCACGUGGUUUAAUUCGGUGCAAACCGAAGAACCUUACCUGGGCUUGACAUAUAGGUGGUAUUGAUCUGAA
This 936-nucleotide ribosomal RNA is filed under the name uncultured marine bacterium. RNAcentral describes it as "bacterial SSU rRNA". It matches the Rfam family "Bacterial small subunit ribosomal RNA", at positions 38 to 1005 of the family's 1533-position model. The record is from RNAcentral.